RNAcentral lists this long non-coding RNA (2153 nucleotides) under Strongylocentrotus purpuratus (purple sea urchin). RNAcentral's name for it is "uncharacterized LOC105440582". The record is from RNAcentral. Lineage: Eukaryota; Metazoa; Echinodermata; Echinoidea; Camarodonta; Strongylocentrotidae.
ACAAGAAAAUCCAUAGCAAAAGGAUUUUCUGUUUUCACGAAGUGACGGCCAAGUACGCGCUUAACAGCCGUCAAUUCGUGAAAACAUCGUUUGCUCUUUUCCUGCUUUUAAUAUUUUCACGAAGUGACGGGAGUGAAAAUUUCGCAGUUUGGAACAGUCACAGACCAUGAAAAGUUUCAGAUGCAGUAGAUACAAUUCGCACUUAUAUGAAGGAAGCACUGGGAAAGUACAUCUACUUUUCAAGAAUGCCACAGGCCAGACACAAAUCCAGAUUGGAUACAGGGACCAACAUGCUGGUAAGAUGGGUCCUUGAUAAUUCACUGAACACAGAGCUGCAGAUGUGACUUGGCUUAGUGACCUAAGAGUGGGAGCGGUAUGGAACCGUUGAAGCAAUUCACCGAACACUGUUGAAGCAAUUCACCGAUCACAGUCAGAGCUGCAUGUGUGACUUGGCAUGGUGACCCUUAAAGUCUCCUGACGGCUCCGAUUGCGAUUCUGAUGAUGACCCAAUGUCUAUGCUUGUGAGCGAGUCAAAAGGUAUCUUUUUUCCUUCUUGAUUGUUUCCCAAUAGUUAAAAUUUAAGAUAUUCUUAAUUGUUUUUAAUGCUUAGGUCUCUAAGUUAAGGGAAUGAGUGGUCCUAUCGAGGUCAGCAUCUAAUUUUUUUUAAAUCCUUAACAAAAAUUUCCAAUACUAAGGUGAUACCACAAUAAGUAUUUAAUUUAUUAAGAGACUCUCUAAAAUUGGGUACCAAAACUACACAUAAUAAUUUCGCCCAAUCAUAAUGCACUGUAAAGUUUCCCUUUCAUAAUUGAAAUUCUGAUGAUUUUUUAUUGAUUUUGACUUGGACUUUUUUAAUUAUGAUUUUUCUUUCUCUUAUUUCCUUUUACUAUCAAGCAGUUUAGAUCAAGGAUCUUUGCUGCUUCAACCACUAUCGCUUGGAUGACAUAUGUGUGAAGAAACAUGAAGAACUUGCGUUGAAGGGCAUGCUUGAGAAACUAGAAUCAAUUACAUUGAUCGUUUUGGCAAUGCUUUAAUGUUUCAAUACCUCAAUCUCUCUUUUAUACUGUUUGAUUUUAAACAUUUUGAAUAUCAUAAAUAAAGCAAACUCCACUCAUAAUUGUAAUUGUGUGUACUAGUAAUCACAAUGAAAUGGAUUGAUUAUAAAAUCAAUGAAUUGAUUUAAAGCAAACUGGUAACAUUUUCCGUGAGUUCUGAAACAAUGAACUGAAUGGUCGUACAGGUGUCAGUUUUCUGUUACAGUAUUGUAAUGAACUCCUGCAAACAUAAAUCUUUAAUAUUUAAAUGUAAAGCUCAGAACUGCUAUUUAUCAGGUAUACCUACCUCAAUCAGUAAUGCAUAUUAGAGUUUUUUUUUUUAUUCCAGUUCCAUGAAUCCUCAUAUCGUAUCUUUGUAUUGAAGAAUUUGUUUAUCUAUUUUCUUUAAAUGUUUGUAUUCACAGGGGUUGAUGCCUUCAUUAGAACAUGAAUAUAAGUUACAUUUCCAUAAUUGGUUUUUCUCUUAAAACACAAUGUUACUAAUUCACAUUUAAUGUUUUAAUUUGUUACUUCUAUAGUCAUUCUCAUCAUAAUUGUAUUUGGUACUUCAAACUAUCCUAUAAUGAUCAUACAAUAUAAUGUUGCUGUUUUUAAUUGUAUCUGUUUGAUGAGAAAUGAAAUUGUUUACUCAAAUUGAUAUUUCCAUGUUUAUCAUGCAUUGUUUAGCUGAUAAUAGUUUAGUCAGAGAUUACGUGUUUACCUGGGUGAAGACAACCUUUAAGCAUUGGUAAACUUUGUAGCGUUUGAGACUGUGUACUAAAUUUUAUUGAAAUACCCUAGAAAGAGAUUGUGUAAACUGACUUGGUUCUGAUACUCUACUCACCAGAUAUUUAUGAAAAACAGUGAUGAACAAAAAAGUAACGAUGAUGAUUAUAUUAGUCAUUUUUCCCAUUGAAAAACUUCAUGAUACAUGUAGUACAUGUAUGUCGAGCAUUUUGUAUGUCACAUGUGGCAUUUACUCGCUACGAUUGCUGAAUAAACAUGAUAACCAAGUCGUAUAUAAAGAAUUAGAUAAAGACAUUUUAGCAUAUUUACAAGUACUGUAUAAUGAAUGAAAUAACCUUUGUAUUCCGUGGAUGUAUAACUGAUGAGUCUUUU